RNAcentral lists this ribosomal RNA (546 nucleotides) under Aethalodelphis obliquidens (Pacific white-sided dolphin). RNAcentral's name for it is "Sagmatias obliquidens partial 16S ribosomal RNA". It matches the Rfam family "Bacterial large subunit ribosomal RNA", at positions 1816 to 2597 of the family's 2925-position model. Lineage: Eukaryota; Metazoa; Chordata; Mammalia; Artiodactyla; Delphinidae. The record is from RNAcentral.
CACCUCUAGCAUAACUAGUAUUAGAGGCACUGCCUGCCCAGUGACAAUCGUUAAACGGCCGCGGUAUCUUGACCGUGCAAAGGUAGCAUAAUCACUUGUUCUCUAAAUAAGGACUUGUAUGAAUGGCCACACGAAGGUUUUACUGUCUCUUACUCUUAAUCAGUGAAAUUGACCUCCCCGUGAAGAGGCGGGGAUAACACAAUAAGACGAGAAGACCCUAUGGAGCUUUAAUUAAUCAACUCAAAAAGCAUAAAACAAUACCACCAAGGGAUAACAAAGCCUUAUAUGAGUUGACAAUUUCGGUUGGGGUGACCUCGGAGUAUAAAAAACCCUCCGAGUGAUUAAAACCUAGGCCUACCAGCCAAAGUAUAAUAUCACUUAUUGAUCCAAAAUUUUGAUCAACGGAACAAGUUACCCUAGGGAUAACAGCGCAAUCCUAUUCUAGAGUCCAUAUCGACAAUAGGGUUUACGACCUCGAUGUUGGAUCAGGACAUCCUAAUGGUGCAGCAGCUAUUAAGGGUUCGUUUGUUCAACGAUUAAAGUCCU